GGAAUAUUGGUCAAUGGGCGGAAGCCUGAACCAGCCAUGCCGCGUGAAGGAAUAAGGCCCUAUGGGUCGUAAACUUCUUUUGACGGGGAGCAAUAAGGGUCACGUGUGGUCCGAUGAGCGUACUCGUCGAAUAAGCAUCAGCUAACUCCGUGCCAGCAGCCGCGGUAAUACGGAGGAUGCGAGCGUUAUCCGGAUUUAUUGGGUUUAAAGGGUGCGUAGGCUGUGCCGCAAGUCAGGGGUGAAAGCCCGGCGCUUAACGCCGGAACUGCCUUUGAUACUGCGGUGCUGGAGUUCGGAUGCCGUGGGAGGAAUGGGCAGUGUAGCGGUGAAAUGCUUAGAUAUUGCCCAGAACACCGAUUGCGAAGGCAUCUCACGAAUCCGCGACUGACGCUGAGGCACGAAAGCGUGGGGAUCAAACA
This 419-nucleotide ribosomal RNA is filed under the name uncultured bacterium. Its description in RNAcentral is "bacterial SSU rRNA". It matches the Rfam family "Bacterial small subunit ribosomal RNA", at positions 358 to 774 of the family's 1533-position model. The record is from RNAcentral.